Long non-coding RNA from Talpa occidentalis (Iberian mole), 991 nucleotides. RefSeq lists it as uncharacterized. The transcript is spliced from 4 exons. Lineage: Eukaryota; Metazoa; Chordata; Mammalia; Eulipotyphla; Talpidae. The record is from RefSeq and is a predicted model, not a curated record.
UGUUGUUCUUAUACGGGGCCUUCCGCCUAGAGUUCCGGCUCCUCUAAAUGGUGGGAAUGAGGGUCUGAGGGACAAAGCCAGCCUGGUUCCCGCAGCCACCUCAGAAUGGACGGAAUCCCCAUUGUGUGCGGCGCCCCAUUCCGCCCUCCCCUUGCCCACACCGGACAUGCCAACAAACAGCUCAUUGAGUCCGGGGGAGGGGCCGGGAGACAACAAUGUCCCCCAGCGGGCCAGGGCUGUGAGCUCAGCUGGGGGUGGGGGCUGCCAUGGAGGCCAGGGAGCGAUGAUCUCAGCCUGGGGAGGGCUGGCCCCUGCGACAGGCUGACCCCAGCCUGGCCUCCCCGGUGAGGCUGAGAAGUCCUGACCGGGGUUGGCCUCACCCUGGCUGCCCCACCCCCUGGGGCCGAGCUGGGAACCAACUGGUGCUUCUCACGCUCAAACUGCUCUAGCCAAGGGCGCCAACAAGGCGCUGCAGGGGGGCCUACAGGACCAGCAGAGCCACCUCAGACCCAAGAGGGACAGGCCCCAGGCGUUGGUGCAUACCUGGUCAUCAGCCGCAGAUCUGGAGAGCUCCUGCGUCUCGCCUUCCCUCUGCACCUCCCUGUUCCAGAUCACCCUGCACACCAUGGCCAGAUGGAAGCGGAACACCCUCUUUUGCUCAAGAACCCGCAGCUUCCCUGAUACCUAUCAGUCAAGUCCAAAUUCAUCUGUCUGUUUGAUGAAUUCACCCCAGGAGUCCCCAGCUUCCUCCCUACCCAAAGAAGAGUUGUGUUGAGAGGGCAGGAGCAGAGAUCAAGUGGAUAUGAGAGAAGAGGAAGCAGCAGAGCGGUGGGUGCGAGCAGUGGCAGAUGGAGAGUAGCGCUGCCGGGGCGCAUCUGCGGGGAGGGGCAACAUCGAUCCUGGCCCCCCUUGGAAGCCCGUUGGUUCUGGUCCUUACUCGCCAGCAUGCUUCCACCUGCAGGGCCAAGGUCCGAGGAACGGCAGCGCCUGA